This 301-nucleotide ribosomal RNA is filed under the name uncultured bacterium. Its description in RNAcentral is "partial 16S ribosomal RNA". It matches the Rfam family "Bacterial small subunit ribosomal RNA", at positions 509 to 807 of the family's 1533-position model. The record is from RNAcentral.
CAGCAGCCGCGGGAAUACGGAGGGGGCUAGCGUUGUUCGGAAUUACUGGGCGUAAAGCGCACGUAGGCGGCUUGGUAAGUUAGAGGUGAAAGCCCAGGGCUCAACCCUGGAAUUGCAUUUAAGACUGCCGAGCUAGUAGGUGAGAGAGGUAAGUGGAAUUCCGAGUGUAGAGGUGAAAUUCGUAGAUAUUCGGUAGAACACCAGUGGCGAAGGCGGCUUACUGGCUCAUUCUAGACGCUGAGGUGCGAAAGCGUGGGGAGCAAACCGGAUUAGAUACCCCUGUAGUCCCUGUCUCUUAUAC